AGACAGCCAAGAACAAAAACAAAACCCCGUGGGUGGGUGUUUCCAUGUUGCAGGGGGAAGGGCAGAAUCCCUAAGGAGGCUCACAGCCCCUCCAGCUCCUCCCCUCAGCAGAGCCCUGCCCUACCUGACUCUGCAUCUCCCCCAGAGCCUUGUGUUUCCAGUGUCCCCACCAGACCACGAGCCAGGGGCAUGAGGGCAGGUUAUCAUGGGCCCCCCCAGAGGGCGUUCCUGGUGGAUGAGAAGCUGGUACACAGGUCAUGUCCCAGACGGAGGCCAAGCUGGGUAGAAGGCCGAGGUGCCCAGUCAGCACUGGGAGGCAGACCCACCACACGAGGCACUUGGUUGUGGGGUUCACACAUUCUGAAAAGUUGGUUCUGCCACUUAUUAAAAAAAUUUUUUUUUCAUACUAGGGAUUGCACCCAGGAGCGCUAAACCACUAAGGCACAUCCUCAGCCCUUUUUAUUUUUUAUUUAGAGACAAGGUUUCAGUAGGUUGCUUAAGGACUUGCUAAAUUGCUGAGGCUAGCCUUGAACUUGGAAUCCUCCUGCCUCAGCCUCCUGAGCUGCUGGGAUUACGGGCGUGCACCACGACACCCAGAGGUUCUGCCUCUUUUGGAAAGGAACAUCAAGUUGUGUGCCAAAGCCUGGGGAUGGCUGUGACUCUCAACAGCAAGGCUGCAAGCAAGGGGAGAGAGGCAGAGCCCUCGCCUCUCUGCAGGCCAACAUGCCCACCUUGAAGGUCUGGGAGCAAGCAUCAGGGUGGAGUCACGCAGGGCCUUUAAAAAAUGCUCCCCGCCAGGGGGCUGCUGAGUUGGGCUGCCCAAACCCGGAGCCCUGACUGUGAGCUGCAGGGAGGAAAGGGUGGUGCUGGGGUUCCACAGAGAGGCUGUGCACCCACCCAGGCAGGGCCAGGUCCACCCUGGGCAGCAAGCCUCAGGGCACUGAGGUCCAGGGCUCUUCCACAUUCCAGCCUUUGUUCUGCUUCUAAACCUGAGGUCGGGAGUGGCCCGGAUUCUUAUCUGACUCUGACAGACCUCAACUGCAGAAGUUCUUUUUUCUACCUGUCCUGCUGUGUGGUGAGGACAGAUGGGCUCUGGGCACCUCCUGGGAGCUGGGUGGUCCUUAGCUGCUAGGAAGCUGGAGGUGCAGGACAACUGCUCCCAAGUGAGCCCACCUGAUGCCAGGUGUACACCAGUCUUACAAGGGCCUCGACGGUGGCCUGCGUCUGUGGGGUUGAACCCUAGGAAGGCUGGCUCACAGGCUCUGAAGACAGGGUAACUGCAGGGAAGGACCAAAGGAGGGAGACGGAGGGGAGGCAGCUCAGCAGGAGCACAGGUCUACAGGACUAAACUGGCUGCCCAGGGGCCCACGAGGCUGAGCCCUCUUCACUUUAUCUCUGGGGUUUAGGCCCGGCUCAGUCAGAGUGACUCUGUCGUGACUCUUGUUCUACAGUGGAGGACGUGUUUCAGAUUGGCAUUGCCUGUCAGAAUUAAUAUUGUCAAAAUGGCUAUACUACCAAAAGCACUAUACAGAUUUAAUGCAAUUCCUAUAGAGGUUCCAAGGAUGUUCUUCAGAAAAAGCAAUCAUGAAAUCCAUUUGGAAAAAUGAGAGGCCCAGAAUAGCCAAAGCAAUUCUCAGCAAGAAAAGUGAAUCACAAUAACAGACUUUAAACUACACUACAGAGCUAUAGUAACAAAAACAGCAUGGUAUUGGCACCAAAACAGACAUGUAGACCAAUGGAAUAGAAGACACAGAGACAAACUUACACAAAUACAGUUAUCUCAUACUAGACAAAGGUGCCAUUAACAUACAUAUGUCACAAAAUGAAAUCAAACCCCUAUCUCUCAUUCUGCACAAAAAUCAACUCAAAAUGGAUCAAG
RNAcentral lists this long non-coding RNA (1879 nucleotides) under Marmota monax (woodchuck). Lineage: Eukaryota; Metazoa; Chordata; Mammalia; Rodentia; Sciuridae. The record is from RNAcentral.